This 1108-nucleotide small RNA is filed under the name Pan troglodytes (chimpanzee). RNAcentral's name for it is "retained intron". The record is from RNAcentral. Lineage: Eukaryota; Metazoa; Chordata; Mammalia; Primates; Hominidae.
UCCUUCCUUCCAGUUGGGAUACCGCUGGACAGGAGAGGUUCAAAUGCAUUGCGUCAACCUACUAUAGAGGAGCUCAAGCCAUCAUCAUUGUCUUCAACCUGAAUGAUGUGGCAUCUCUGGAACAUACCAAGCAGUGGCUGGCCGAUGCCCUGAAGGAGAAUGACCCUUCCAGUGUGCUUCUCUUCCUUGUAGGUUCCAAGAAGGAUCUGAGUGUGAGUGUGCCAGUGGGGGGACUUCCCAGCUUGGUGAGGGAAUGCCCCCCUCUGACUCUGGCCUUCCCUCAGACCCCUGCUCAGUAUGCGCUGAUGGAGAAAGACGCCCUCCAGGUGGCCCAGGAGAUGAAGGCUGAGUACUGGGCAGUCUCAUCUCUCACUGGUGAGUUGGAGGCUUUAGGGCUCUGCUGUGACACUCUUGCCUGGCUCUCCUCUCACUGCUACACCUCCAGCUGUGCCCUGUGUCCCCAGACCCAGCACUGCCCCUGAGCACCUAUCUGCUCUCUGUGUCAGGUGAGAAUGUCCGAGAAUUCUUCUUCCGUGUGGCAGCACUGACCUUUGAGGCCAAUGUGCUGGCUGAGCUGGAGAAAUCGGGGGCUCGACGCAUUGGGGAUGUUGUCCGUGAGUGCUUGCCUGGUUGAGGGUGGCAGAGGGCACAGUGAGCCUCCAAUCCCUGCUUCACAUAUUUUCCACCCUUCUUUAGGCAUCAACAGUGAUGACAGCAACCUCUACCUAACUGCCAGCAAGAAGAAGCCCACAUGUUGCCCAUGAGGGCUGAGGAGACUGUUCAGAGACUGCCCAGCCCUAGGGCACUGUGCCACCCUCAUUCCUCCAGAGCUUGACCCCUGGACAUUUGCACUGACUUUAUCCAGACCAAAGAGCUGCCUCUUGGUGGCAGUAUUCCCACAGAGGGGUAGCUGGGACCAUGCUAGUCACUUCCUGCCCCCAGGCACCGUGCCAAAGACUGGAUGCCCCCUACUCCUCAGGGGACUGUCCAGGGCACCCAGUGGUAGUGAGGGAGAGUGUCUCUGUUCUUUUGCUCAGCCUGCUGGGCCCUUUGUGUUUGAGGAUGCUUAAUGAUUCCAGCCUCUCACUGUGCCUUAUGCAUUAAAAUU